GUGUGUGUAUUUGUGUAUUGGCCAGCCACAUGCUACAAUGUCUCUGAAAACCAUUAAAUCCAGUUACUUUAUGCAUUGUCUGCAAUGGCGAUUCAGCCUUAGAAACUUUUACUGUACAAAGUGUACAAAAGAGAAAAGGCUAUAUACAGCACUACGAGAUUCAGGAACAACCAAUUACUGGAGUUACAGAUUAAAUUCUUUAAAGUCUGUUUUUUUUUCCCCUCAGCACAGCAAGUCGACAAAACAUGCCCGAAUGGAGAAUGACAGAGGGAAUCCAUCUUCAGUUGUUUCCCCCCUCCAUUAGAAAAAAACAAGUUGAAAAAACCUGUGAGCUUUGAAAGUGGACAUCACUCCGGCCCACAGCAGAGAGUCGCCUCCUCAGAUGCUCCAGCCACUGCAACAACAUCCAGACCCACAACCAGAACUCGCAGGAGUCCUUGACUACUGCACAUUAAGUUUCAUACAAGUUUCACUGCUUCACAUUAACCAUAUACUAUAUGUACUGUUCUGGACUUGGGAAAAAAAUGUGUCACUGUAUUAUUCAACUCUACAUAUUCAAAGUAAAAUAUUACAAUUUUGGUACUGAAACCGAAAAUCAGAUACACAUAUUUGUACAUUCAGUA
Long non-coding RNA from Lates calcarifer (barramundi perch), 623 nucleotides. RefSeq lists it as uncharacterized. The transcript is spliced from 3 exons. The record is from RefSeq and is a predicted model, not a curated record. NCBI's taxonomy places the organism in Eukaryota, Metazoa, Chordata, Actinopteri, Centropomidae.